This 474-nucleotide non-coding RNA is filed under the name Pongo abelii (Sumatran orangutan). Lineage: Eukaryota; Metazoa; Chordata; Mammalia; Primates; Hominidae. The record is from RNAcentral.
GGAGCCCGGGCGCACUGGCCAGGCCGCGGGCUGUCCCAGGGAGCCCCGAGGGCGCGGUGCGCGGGCGCAGGUCGGGCGCAGGCGGGGUGACCCGGGGAAGGGGCGCGCACAGAGACAGAGGAAGCCAGCCGAGCCCUGCGGUGUCCUCGGACGCCUCCGAAAUCUCCCUGAGUGUUUGUUUCUUCGGAGCUUCACCGGAGCCUGACUCUGGACCCGGCCUGUCUGCCUACUGCAGUCUGGAAACGUUGUGUUCUGUUAGUCUUGGAGGCCAAGGCUGAGUGGGUUUAUCUCUGUGCCCCUCCAGUGACUUCAAAGAAUGCCAAAAGUCUCUCGAGUGUGUGUGUGUGCACACACAGACACACACAAAUAUGCAUUCUUAGAAACCAGAUAUACAAAGACAAGCUCUCUGCUUUCAAGAAGCUCUCAAUCUGAUCGAGGAGAGAAACAGGUAGCAAAUAAUGACAGCAGAGCGUG